GAACCAAUGGGAAACCUCUAGAGGGUAUUUAAACCCCAGAAACUCGUGUAACCCAUGCUCUUGAACCACUUGCUCCAGGCAUCUCCCACCCUGUGGAGUGUACUUUCGUUUAAGUUAAAUCUCUGCUUUUGCUGCCUUGUUUUGUCCAAUUCUUUGUUCAAAAAGCCAAGAACCUGGGCAACUACGCUUAACUGGUAACAUAUGUUGGGGAACCAGCCAGGAGUCUUUCAGCGGCCGUUUCCUAGCAGCUCCUUAGUAAUUGAGGGCAACUGGCCAGGACCACUCUCUGGUGUUACCUGAAGGCCAAGGAGUGACCGGUGAUAGCUGCCUGCCUGGAAGGGGGAAGGGCUCUUUUCCGUCUUGUCCAGUUAUCAUCCCUGAACCCUCCAUGUGAUGCAGUUGGCAGUGGCAGCCCAUCCAGGGUGAACUCAUGUUUCAGGCGAGUUAAACCUUGUUUCCUUAUGCUAAAUUCUUCCCUUCCCCUACUCAACUGGCUAAGGACAAGUCAGAGGGUUUGCGCAGAUGGUUUGUGUGUGUCAUGCGGGGGGAUUCAUAAAAGGGAAUUUAUGUACAAUUUAAUCUUGCCUAAAUUUAGAAAGUUAAAUAAUUGUUUUAAGUGGGAUAGGAAAAAAUCCAAAGGUUUGACUGAAAAUUAAUUUCUAGAAAUCAAGGCCUUCAUCCAGGGACAAGAGGGAAAGUUCAUAGUGGGCCAUCAGUGGUGGAGGAAACCAUUCCAUAGUGGUGUCAGAUCUAAGGUCAGAGACGUCCGACAGACUAAGAUGGGGCCCUAAAGAGGGAUGUCCCCCAGGACCCCAGUCAGGGCCCAGAAUUUUUCCAGGGGGAUGACCCGUGUAAAAUUUGGGUCACCUAAUGGGCCCUCCACUUUCCAAAGUCCUCUUCUCUUUUCCAGACCACUAUAGGCAACUCUCCAUCGAUUCCACCUGAUUCCUCUAUGGGCCACUCUCCAUCUAUUUCACCUGGUACCCUGCUUGGCUACAUCCUCCACCAUUGAAAUCAACUUUACCCUGACAAUCUAAAGAGAAAAUAGACCAUCAAGUUUCAGAUGAUCCUGUGACAAGGUUUCCAGCCUGUUCCAAAUGAAGGCAGCACCCCUGGCCAUCAAGAAACUACCCAGUCUCCACUCGAUAGAUAAAGGCAGGAGUUCGGGGAUCCCCAAUAGGUAGGGACUGCACCUCAAGUCAGGGUGACGCAGUUACAGAAGAAAGACCAUCAGUCACUCUGUCUCCCAUAAAGAUUUCUGGGGAUCAUGUCUCUCGGGGGAAAUGAGGCAGGAGAAUAGGGUCUGGAGGCAGGGAACCUAAGUUCGAUGCAUGCUGACUGGAUAUCAGAGGCUACUCCCUUUCAACCCCUCCUUUUUCUGCAUGGCAGUUGCUGCCUGGCAGUUGGAAAUGAAAGUACCUCGGAUUGGUUCCCUCCCGCAACCAAUCAGACUGGUUGCGGGCCACUACUUUAUGUGCAUAGAGUGAACAGAUGGGAAACCCCUGGAGGGUAUUUAAACCCCAGAAAAUCCUGUAGCCCAGGCUCUUGAGCCUCUUGCUCGAGCCCGCUCCCACCCUGUGGAGUGUACUUUCGUUUAAAAUAAAUCUCUGCUUUUGCUGCCUU
Molecule: long non-coding RNA, 1623 nt
Filed under: Homo sapiens (human)
Lineage: Eukaryota; Metazoa; Chordata; Mammalia; Primates; Hominidae
Description: HSALNT0224366
Source: RNAcentral